GUGCCAGCAGCCGCGGUAAUACGAGAGGUGCAAGCGUUAAUCGGAAUCACUGGGCGUAAAGGGCGCGUAGGCGGCGCAUUCAGUCGGCUGUGAAAGCCCCGGGCUCAACCUGGGGAUGGCAACCGAUACUGACGUGCUUGAGUGCAGUAGAGGGAGGUAGAAUUCCAGGUGUAGCGGUGAAAUGCGUAGAGAUCUGGAGGAAUACCAGUGGCGAAGGCACCGCACGG
Molecule: ribosomal RNA, 227 nt
Filed under: uncultured prokaryote
Description: partial 16S ribosomal RNA
Rfam family: Bacterial small subunit ribosomal RNA
Source: RNAcentral